AAACCAACAAACCAUUGUGGACACACCUAAAUUUGUGAUUGUAAACAGAGAACAAAGUCCAACUCUAAUCAACUCCUGUAACCGCUUACUCUGAAAUAUACCUUUGCAGAGGAGCAAAAAUAACUAUUCCAUCUCUCCCGAUCACCAUGGUUUAUAAAACUGUUACAGUUGCAUUGUUCUUCACAUUUGCCACAUGGACACAGUAUGACCUAAAGGAUGAAACAACAAAACCAAGGAAGGUUAAUUUCCUGCUAAACACAGAAAUAUGGUCCCAGAGACAUGAAAACAUAGAUUCAAUUAAGAUAUUCAUGGAACAGCAGUGGGUUACUGUUGAGAUUAAACAAGAACCCAAAUGGGUUACUGUUGAGAUUA
Long non-coding RNA from Cyprinodon tularosa, 372 nucleotides. RefSeq lists it as uncharacterized. NCBI's taxonomy places the organism in Eukaryota, Metazoa, Chordata, Actinopteri, Cyprinodontiformes, Cyprinodontidae. The transcript is spliced from 3 exons. The record is from RefSeq and is a predicted model, not a curated record.